Molecule: ribosomal RNA, 51 nt
Filed under: Geotria australis
Lineage: Eukaryota; Metazoa; Chordata; Hyperoartia; Petromyzontiformes; Geotriidae
Description: partial 5.8S ribosomal RNA
Source: RNAcentral
UUGCGGCCCGGGAGUUCCUUCCUGGGGCCAAGCCUGUCUGAGGGUCGCCCU